AGAGUUUGAUCCUGGCUCAGAUUGAACGCUGGAGGCGUGCUUAACACAUGCAAGUCGUGCGAGAAAGGGACUUCGGUCCUGAGUAGAGCGGCGCACGGGUGAGUAACGCGUGGGUGAUCUCCCUUGGUGAUCGGGAUAACAGCGGGAAACUGCUGCUAAUACCGGAUAAUCUUCAUGUUUAACUUCAUGGGGUAAAGGUGGCCUCUGCUUGCAAGCUACCACACCGAGAUGAGCCCGCGUCUCAUUAGCUAGUUGGUAGGGUAAUGGCCUACCAAGGCUACGAUGAGUAGCUGGUCUGAGAGGAUGACCAGCCACACUGGGACUGGAACACGGCCCAGACUCCUACGGGAGGCAGCAGUGGGGAAUAUUGCGCAAUGGGCGAAAGCCUGACGCAGCGACGCCUCGUGAGGGAUGAAGGUCUUCGGAUCGUAAACCUCUGUCAAGAGGGAAGAAACCCUUGGGUUCGAAUAGGGCCCUUGGCUGACGGUACCUCAAAAGGAAGCACCGGCUAACUCCGUGCCAGCAGCCGCGGUAAUACGGAGGGUGCAAGCGUUAAUCGGAAUCACUGGGCGUAAAGCGCUCGUAGGCKGUUUGGUCAGUCAGAUGUGAAAGCCCUCGGCUCAACCGGGGAACUGCAUUUGAUACUGCCAGACUUGAGUGUCGGAGAGGGUGGCGGAAUUCCGGGUGUAGGAGUGAAAUCCGUAGAUAUCCGGAGGAACACCAGUGGCGAAGGCGGCCACCUGGACGACAACUGACGCUGAGGAGCGAAAGCGUGGGUAGCAAACAGGAUUAGAUACCCUGGUAGUCC
RNAcentral lists this ribosomal RNA (808 nucleotides) under uncultured bacterium. RNAcentral describes it as "bacterial SSU rRNA". It matches the Rfam family "Bacterial small subunit ribosomal RNA", at positions 8 to 796 of the family's 1533-position model. The record is from RNAcentral.